UCCUCAAAUAUGGCAACUUGGGAUAUGGCUUCUUGAAUAAGGAAAAGGCAACUUGGUGAUUUGAAAUUUGAAUUUCAAAUUGCUUUGUCUGAAUGUUCUUUCCUUCUUUGCCACUUUCCUUAUUUAGAACUUUCCAUAUUUAGCUUGACUUGAUUUCAACUUGGCAGGCUUGCUCUCUUUUGCUCCAAAUAAGGCAGUUUUAGGGGUAUUUUCUCCAAAGUGUCCUUUUACACCAUUUUCUGCAAAAUAAUGCUAAGAGCACUAAAUUAAGCAGAAAUCAUGUAAAUAAUCAUCAAUAAUAUCAAGAUAAAAAGGACUAAAAUAUGUUCUAUCAAUAGAUGGCCUGGUCAAAGACCUUCGGCAGCCUAACGUGCCCCUUAAACUCAUGCAUGUUCGGCGGCCGAACUUGACUCGUUCAAAUAAGGCUUUCGGAGGCCAAAAGUGCUCCCGAAACCUUCCCAUGUUCGGCGGCCGAACUUCACUUUCGGCGGCCGAACCUGGCAAUUGCCUCAUUGGUCUUUUCUUUUCAAAACUCAAUUCAUUUCCAUUUAAAACCAUGAAAUCAUGUGAAAACUUUUUAGAAAACACAUUUUACCCCUCUAGAAGCCUCUGGCAUCUUCAGAAUUCCCGAUUCCAACGGAGAUUCCGCCGGAAGACAGGGAUUCCGAUGCCGGAAUCUAGCCGGGUAUUACAGCAGUCCACCUGUUGGAUGUAACAGUUAGUUUCUUUCAGUUCUGGCUCUUUUUGGCUCUCUU
This 755-nucleotide long non-coding RNA is filed under the name Manihot esculenta (cassava). RNAcentral describes it as "long non-coding RNA (MESC_LNC001646)". Lineage: Eukaryota; Viridiplantae; Streptophyta; Magnoliopsida; Malpighiales; Euphorbiaceae. The record is from RNAcentral.